Triticum dicoccoides is the source of this 3266-nucleotide long non-coding RNA. RefSeq lists it as uncharacterized. Lineage: Eukaryota; Viridiplantae; Streptophyta; Magnoliopsida; Poales; Poaceae. The record is from RefSeq and is a predicted model, not a curated record. The transcript is spliced from 8 exons.
UAUGCCCUAUCCCUAACCCGCUCUCGUCUCCCUCAGACGCAGCCGGCCGCGGAAUCGAUCUCAUCUCCGAUCUCCCUGCCGCCGACUCUUCGUAGCCGCCACCCACGUACGAGUUCGUACGUUACCGCCGUCGUCGUCCUAAGGUAGACGCCGCGGCCGCGUCUCCAGGGCAGGGCGGCUUGAAUCCCUGUCGCCAGGAUCGCCCCCGCCGACGUCCGAGGGGGAGACGACACCGCCGCGGUGAUGACCCGCCCAGCUGGCGCAUCGCCGUUGUCCGUCGUCCUGCACUAAGCUUGACGUCGCCCGCCUCCGUCCUCCCCAUUCUCAAAUACUCCUUUCUCAGGCGACGCUGUUGCCGGGGCAGCGAGAUUCCUUUGGUUUUGUUGUUCAGAGACUGCAAAAUUUGGGGAGAAUGAGUUUGUGUGUUCCACAAGCAUCAAGGUUCUUCAGUACAAUGCUCAAGGGGUGGGCAACAAAUCGUCUUUCACUUGCAUCUCGUCAGUCGGUAAAUCUGCAGUUUUUGAAUGAGAAUACCCUAAAUUUAGAGGACAACUUCGCAAUGGCAAUCCGUUGUGGGACCUUAUUGAAGGACGGGAGGAAAAUGAAUUAUUGCACUAUACAAAAUUGUUAACCGGUUACAUCGGCUAUGGUUCCUUCCUUUUUAGAAUAGAAUUGCCGACAGAUGAUCACUCAAUCAUGUUCUUAUAUAUGGUAACCUUUUCUCACCAUCCAUUAUCCGUGCGGUUAUUCCUUUUGUACAAAAAUCUUACCAUUAGGGAAUACUGUUCACAACUGCUCUGCUAUUUGUGACUCGGUUCUAGGCGAUGAAGGCAAACUAUCUGUUUAUUAGGAUUUAAUAUUUGUUUACCAAGUGAAAGUAAUGAACCCAUUUCAACAUACUAAGUGUAUCUUUAUGAGAUCAAAUGCUUGGAAUUACGAGUAUGGUUUCAGCAUGUUUACAGAAAAAUGCAUUGUUUUACUCUACUCAUCCGUUAUUGACGACUUCUAUAAGGCCAUGUAUUUUGUUGAUAUUACUUCGAGGGUAACCUAUGGAUGAUGAUCGAGAAUCAGUUCUAAAUUCAAAUCAAGUGCAACUUUUCUCUGUAUUAGUACUGAAACCAUGAUAAUAUUCUCAGUGUAUGAUCCUACAAAUAAACCAUUGCAUUUCUCAUUCUUAGCAACAUUUGUAGAUCCUUAGCAACUCUUGCACAGUUACUGCAUCAUCAUGCAAGGUACUGUUUUGUAUUGGAUUUUGUUUCUCAUGCUUGCUAAAAAUUUCAUUCAUGUAUUUGAUUUCCUUUUCACUAUUAGAUGUUGAGAGCCUAAAGAAUGCACUAGAAUAGCGAUGUGAUGCUCACGGAAGAGGAGGUCAAGGAGGUAGAUGCGCUGAUAAUGCAUUGAUACAUGUAUGAUAUGUUCUCGCAAAAAGUUAGUGUAACAAAAAUCUCACACCAAGAUUUAAUUUUGGCAACUUAUUUUAUUGCCUGUAGCAGUGCAAAGACUUUUUGUUUCAGAAAUCAGUAGUAGUAUUUGAUUUGAUUUAAGUCUCAGUUCACGCAGGGGUGCGCAGCAAAUCGUCUUUCACUUGCAUCUCGUCAGUCGGUAAAUCUGCAGUUUUUGAAUGAGAAUACCCUAAAUUUAGAGGACAACUUCGCAAUGGCAAUCAGUUGUGGGACCUUAUUGAAGGACGGGAGGAAAAUGAAUUAUUGCACUAUACAAAAUUGUUAACCGGUAUUUGACCAUUACGACUUCUUCCCAUCCUUCAUAUAUCAAAGAAAAAACAAGUCAAUUUGUCUUCACUCUUCACUGGUAUUUCAUUGUGAUGGCAGGCCCUUAAUCAUCAUCUCCUUUUAAUUCAAACAUAAUGCUUUAUAUGCAAAGAAGCAUGCUAUUUGCUUAUUUUUCUCGAAUGUUUUGUUAAGUGACAUGCUAUUUAUUGUAUUCAGGUUACAUCGACUAUGGUUCCUUCCUUUUUAAAAUAGUGCUAUAAAUCGUCGACAUAUGAUCAAUCAGUCAUGUUCUUAUAUAUGGUAACCUUUUCUCACCAUGCAUUAUCCGUGCGGUUAUUUCUUUUGUACAAAAAUCUUACCAUUAGAGAAUACUAUUCACAACUGCUGCUGUUUGUGACUCGGUUCUAGGGGAUGAAAGCAAACUACCUGUUUAUUAGGAUUUAGUAUUUGUUUACCAAUAGAAAGUAAUGAACCCAUUUCAUCUUACUGAGUGUAUCUUUAUGAGAUCAAAUGGUUGUAAUUACAAGUAUGGCUUUCUCAACAUGUUUACAGAAAAAUGCAUUGUUUUACUCUACUCAUCCAUUAUUGACGACUUCUAUAAGGCCAUCUAUUUUGUUGAUAUUACUUCGAGGGAACAGGGUACACUACGGAUGAUGAUCGAGAAUCAGUUCUAAAUUCCAAUCAAGUGUAACUUUUGCCUGUAUUAUUACUGAAACCAUGAUAAUAUUCUCAGUGUAUGAUCCUACAAAUAAACCAUUGCAUUUCUCAUUCCUAGCAACAUUUUUAGAUCCUUAGCAACCCUUGCACUGUUACUGCAUCAUCAUGCAAGGUACUGUUUUGUAUUGGAUUUUGUUUCUCAUGCUUGCUAAAAAAUUCAUUCAUGUAUUUGUUUUCCUUUAAACUAUUAGAUGUUGAGAGCCUAAAGAAUGCACUAGAACUAUUAGAUGUUUUCCUUUUCACUAUUAGAUGUUGAGAGCCUAAAGUCAUCUGAUGGCUUUCAAGAGAGUGCAUUCGGCGGAGCAGGUGGCAUCCUAUUCCUCUCCUUAGAUGUCAUUGUCUAUUCUCGUGCGACCCUGACUACUCCGCGAUCUCCCGCCUGUGAUCCACCUGUGCAAGCAAAUUUUAUGCCAAGGAUAUCUCUUUAUUCUUGCGGCCAAGGCGGAAGAAGCCCUGGAUGCAAAUGGAGAGCCUCCUCUGCCAUCUCAGCAUCAGCCGUAGGACGACGCUACACCUUAGCGCGGUGGACAGCUCAAAGGCCGCUUCUGAUGAGAUCAUCAAUCUCAAAGAUAUGGACCUCUCGAACGACAAUGCCAUUGUUGUUGUAAAACAUGGUGAUGGUGUUUCAGUUGAAAUAGGAAAGGGCAGUCGACCCGAGGCUACCCUUAUUCAGGUUUCAAUACAGGGCAGUGCCUUUAUCGAUGGAAGCCGUAUCCUCUGACAUAAGUAACUUAUUCCUCCUUAUUUAUAUCUUAUAUCUUCAACUGCAAUGACAUCAAAACAGUGUCAGGAUUAUAGACAUGUAUCGUCAUUCGAAUA